CCUACGGGAGGCUGCAGUGAGGAAUAUUGGUCAAUGGACGAGAGUCUGAACCAGCCACGUAGCGUGAAGGAUGACUGCCCUAUGGGUUGUAAACUUCUUUUUUGGGAAUAAAAUGUUCCACGUGUGGGAUUUUGUAUGUAGCAUAUGAAUAAGGAUCGGCUAACUCCGUGCCAGCAGCCGCGGUAAUACGGAGGAUCCGAGCGUUAUCCGGAUGUAUUGGGUUUAAAGCGAGCGUAGGUGGAUUGGUAAGUCAGUUGUGAAAGUGUGCGGCUUAACCGUAAAAUUGCAGUUGAAACUGGCAGUCUUGAGUACAGUAGAGGUAGGCGGAAUUCUUGGUGUAGCGGUGAAAUGCGUAGAUAUCACGAAGAACUCCGAUUGCGAAGGCAGUCCACUGGACUGCAACUGACGCUGAGGCGCGAAAGUGUGGGUAGCAAACAGGAUUAGAUACCCCAGUAGUC
Molecule: ribosomal RNA, 458 nt
Filed under: uncultured bacterium
Lineage: Bacteria
Description: partial 16S ribosomal RNA
Rfam family: Bacterial small subunit ribosomal RNA
Source: RNAcentral